GCCUUCGUGGUGUAGUGGUCUUCAUGCACGACGCGUAACCGAGAGGUCCGUGGUUCGAUUCCCGGCGAAGGCG
Stegodyphus mimosarum is the source of this 73-nucleotide non-coding RNA. The record is from Rfam. NCBI's taxonomy places the organism in Eukaryota, Metazoa, Arthropoda, Arachnida, Araneae, Eresidae.